Molecule: ribosomal RNA, 234 nt
Filed under: uncultured bacterium
Lineage: Bacteria
Description: partial 16S ribosomal RNA
Rfam family: Bacterial small subunit ribosomal RNA
Source: RNAcentral
UACGUAGGGGGCGAGCGUUAUCCGGAUUUACUGGGCGUAAAGCGCGUUAAGGCGGUUGGCAAAGUUGGUUGUGAAAUCUCAGGGCUCAACCCUGAAAUUGCGACCAAUACUGGUCGACUAGAGUGCAAGAGAGGAAGGUGGAAUUCCCGGUGUAGUAGUGAAAUGCGUAGAUAUCGGGAGGAACACCAGUGGCGAAGGCGGCCUCUGGCUUGUAACUGACGCUGUAGCGCGAAA